GUUGUUGCGCCGUUGCCGGAAAUCGGUCGCCGGAAUUUGAUUUUCGGCGAGCUUAACGGUCCCAAUUUCAUAAGCGGAACGUUCGAUUAAGACAGCGAAAAUUCUUCGUUACAAGACUAGGUGUGCUGGUGCUGCUGCAUAAUCUCGAGCAUACGGGGACUAGGCUUGGGUAUUUACAUUUAAAGCAUUUUGAAAUAAGUAUUAUUGGUUUUUCUAAGACUUAUAUAUGGUUUGUGGUUUGAAUGAAAGGGGUCAUUGAUGAUUCCCGAGUUGUAUUUAUAUUUUAA
Molecule: long non-coding RNA, 287 nt
Organism: Beta vulgaris subsp. vulgaris (sugar beet)
Lineage: Eukaryota; Viridiplantae; Streptophyta; Magnoliopsida; Caryophyllales; Amaranthaceae
Exons: 2
Source: RefSeq, a predicted model, not a curated record